This 1858-nucleotide ribosomal RNA is filed under the name Hevea brasiliensis (rubber tree). Its description in RNAcentral is "SSU rRNA". It matches the Rfam family "Eukaryotic small subunit ribosomal RNA". The record is from RNAcentral. Lineage: Eukaryota; Viridiplantae; Streptophyta; Magnoliopsida; Malpighiales; Euphorbiaceae.
AUGGUUUGAUCUUGCCAGUAGUCAAUGCUUGUUCUUCAAAGAUUAAGCCAUUGCAUUGUGUAAAGUAUGAAACUAAUUCAGGACUGUUGAACUGCGAAUUGGCUCAUUAAAUCAGUCUAUAGUUUGUUCUUGAUCGGUAUCGCGCUGGCUACUCGGCGAUAACCGUCCAGUAUUCUAGAUGAGAGCUAAUACGUGCAACAAACCCGACUUCUGGAAGGGAUGCAUUUAUUAGAUAAAAGGCGACGCGGGCUCUGCCCGUUGCUUCUGAAUGAUUCAUUGAUAACUCGGAUCGCACUGGCCAUGUGCCGGGCGACGCAUCAUUCAAAUUUCUGCUCCUAUCAACUUUUCUAUGUAGGAUUAAGAGGUGCCUACCAUGCGUGGUGACGGGUGACGGAGAUUUAGGUUCGUAUUUCCGGGAGGGAGCCUGAGAAACGUGGCUUACCACAUUCCAAGGAAGGCAGCAGCGCGCGCAAAUUACCCAAUACCUGACACGGGAGGUGUAGUGACAAUAAAUAACAAUACCGGGCUCUUCGAGUCUGGUAAUUGGAAUGAGUUACAAUCUAAGAUCCCUUUAAACGAGGAUCCAAUUCGAGGGGGCAAGUCUGGGUGCUCCAGCGAGCACGCGGGGUAAAUUGCCAGCUCCGAAUAGGCGGUAUAUUUAAUUGUUGCAAGUUAAAAACUCGUAGUUGGGACCUUGGGUUGGGUCGACCGGUCCGCCUCGCUGUGUUGCACCUGUCGGCUCGUCCCUUCUGCCGGCGAUGCGCUCCUGGCCUUAAACUGGCCGGGUCGUGCCUCCCGGCCGCUGUUUACUUUGAGAAUAUUAGAGUGCUCAAAGAAGCCUACGCUGCUGGAUACAUUUAGGCAUGAGAUAACAUCAAUAGGAUUUUCGGUCCUAUUGUGUUGGCCUUCGGAUCGGAGAAUGGAGUUAACAGGGACAGUCGGGGGGCAUUCGUAUUUCAUAGUCAGAGGGUGAAAUUCUUGGAUUUAUGAAAGACGAAAACAAUCGAAAGCAUUUGCCAAGGAUGUUUUCAUUAAUCAAGAACGAAGUGCGGGGCUCGAAGUCACGAUGCAAGAUACCGUCCUGCUCACCCAUAAGCACCAGAUUGGCGUACCAGGCGCAUCGGCGGGAUGUUGCUUUUUAGGACUCCGCUCGCACCUUAUGAGAAAUUCAAAGUUCGUUUGCGUCUCGGGGGGAGUAUGGUCGCAAGGCUCGAACUUAAAGGAAUUGACGGCAAGCGCACCACCAGGAAGUGGAGCCUGCGGCUUAAUUUGAACUCAACACGGGGAAACUUCACCAGGUCCAACAGUAAGGGAUUGACAGACUGAGAGUCUUUCUUGAUUUAUGAGGUGGUGGUAGCAUGGCCGUUCUUAGUUGGUGGAGCGCAUCUUGUCUGGUUAAUUCCUGUUAACGAACGAGAACCUCAGCCUGCUUAACUAGCUAUGCGGAUAUCGCCGGCCAGCUUCUUAGAGGGACUAUGGCUUUAGGCCAAGGAAGUUUGAGGCAAUUUUACAGUGUCUGUGAUGCCCUUAGAUGUUCUGCGGCGCAUCCACGCGCGCUACACUGAUGUAGUCAACGAGUCUAUAGCCUUGUCCGACAGGCCCGGGUAUUAUCAUUGCAAUUGUUGGUCUCAACGAGGAAUCCUGAGUACGCGAGUCAUCAGCUCGCGUUGACUACGUCGCCUUGCCCUUCUGUACACACCGCCCGUCGCUGCCUACCGAUGAAUGGUCCGUGAAGUGUUUGGAUCGCGUGGCGACCAGUGGGCGGUUCGCGCCUGGCGACGUCGGAGAAGUCCACUGACCUUAUCAUUUAGAGGAAGGAGAAGUCGUAACAAGGUUUCCGUAGGUGAACCUGCGGAAG